GACGAACGCUGGCGGCGUGCUUAACACAUGCAAGUCGAACGGAAAGGCCUCUUUCGGGGGGUACUCGAGUGGCGAACGGGUGAGUAACACGUGAGUAACCUGCCCUUGACUUUGGGAUAACUUCAGGAAACUGGGGCUAAUACCGGAUAGGAGCUCCUGCUGCAUGGUGGGGGUUGGAAAGUUUCGGCGGUUGGGGAUGGACUCGCGGCUUAUCAGCUUGUUGGUGGGGGAGUGGCUUACCAAGGCUUUGACGGGUAGCCGGCCGGAGAGGGUGACCGGCCACAUUGGGACUGAGAUACGGCCCCGACUCCUACGGGUGGCAGCAGUGGGGAAUAUUGCACAAUGGGUGGAAGCCUGAUGCAGCAACGCCGUGUGCGGGAUGACGGCCUUCGGGUUGUAAACCGCUUUCGCUCAUGACGAAGCUUUGUGUGACGGUAGUGGGUAAAGAAGCACCGGCUAACUACGUG
Molecule: ribosomal RNA, 467 nt
Filed under: uncultured bacterium
Lineage: Bacteria
Description: partial 16S ribosomal RNA
Rfam family: Bacterial small subunit ribosomal RNA
Source: RNAcentral